AUUGAACGCUGGCGGCAUGCUUUACACAUGCAAGUCGAACGGCAGCGCGGGCUUCGGCCUGGCGGCGAGUGGCGAACGGGUGAGUAAUACAUCGGAACGUGCCCAGUAGUGGGGGAUAGCUCGGCGAGAGCCGGAUUAAUACCGCAUACGACCUGAGGGUGAAAGCGGGGGAUCUUCGGACCUCGCGCUAUUGGAGCGGCCGAUGGCAGAUUAGCUAGUUGGUUGGGUAAAGGCCUACCAAGGCGACGAUCUGUAGCUGGUCUGAGAGGACGACCAGCCACACUGGGACUGAGACACGGCCCAGACUCCUACGGGAGGCAGCAGUGGGGAAUUUUGGACAAUGGGCGAAAGCCUGAUCCAGCAAUGCCGCGUGUGUGAUGAAGGCCUUCGGGUUGUAAAGCACUUUUGGCGGGAACGAAAAGGACUGUGCCAAUACCACGGUUCGAUGACGGUACCCGCAGAAUAAGCACCGGCUAACUACGUG
RNAcentral lists this ribosomal RNA (484 nucleotides) under uncultured bacterium. RNAcentral's name for it is "partial 16S ribosomal RNA". It matches the Rfam family "Bacterial small subunit ribosomal RNA", at positions 29 to 507 of the family's 1533-position model. The record is from RNAcentral.